Molecule: non-coding RNA, 582 nt
Organism: Notechis scutatus (mainland tiger snake)
Lineage: Eukaryota; Metazoa; Chordata; Lepidosauria; Squamata; Elapidae
Source: RefSeq, a predicted model, not a curated record
GAACUGAUAGAGAUAACUUGUUUAAGAUGGAGAAGAAAGUAAAAUACCUGGGUAUCACUAUGACAAAUAUGAACUCUAUGUUAUUUCAAAAUAGCUAUGUUAAGACAUGGAAUGAAGUUUUUAAAAAGAAACGUUAAGAUGGGAGAAACUACAACUGUCAUUGCUGGGGAGAAUUUCUGUGAUAAAAAUGAAUGUCUUGCCUAGAAUGAUGUUUUUGUUUCAGGCAAUACCUGUUUUGACAACUGAUAUACCAUUUAAACAGUGACAGAAGGAUAUAUCUAAAUUUGUGUGUCAGGGGAAAAACAUGAGUUAAGUAUAAGGCAUUAAAAGAUGAAGAGGAAAAAGGAGGACUGGGUUCACCUGAUUUGAAAUUGUAUUUUGCAGCUUGUUGUUUGAUUUGGAUGAAAGAGCGGGUGCUGCUGACAAACAGAAGCCUUUUGGAGUUAGAUGGGCAUGACCUGAGUUUUGGGUGGCAUGGAUAUUUCUGGUAGGAUAAUGUCAAGGUUAUUAUGGAUUUUGUUUGACAUGCCAUAUUGAAAAUAUAGAAUAGAUACAAACCCAGAUUGUUCUUGAAAACAUCCU